AGAGUUUGAUCAUGGCUCAGGAUAAACGCUGGCGGCGCACAUAAGACAUGCAAGUCGAACGGAAGUCGUUAUAAAAAGGAUUGAAGAUUUAUCUGAUUGAGAUUUUAUAACAAUGGCUUUAGUGGCGGACUGGUGAGUAACGCGUGAGCAACCUGCCUACUAGAGGGGAAUAACAGUGAGAAAUCAUUGCUAAUACCGCAUAUGCCAUGAACAUCACAUGAUGAAAAUGGGAAAAGAGUAAUCUGCUAGUAGAUGGGCUCGCGUCUGAUUAGAUAGUUGGUGGGGUAACGGCCUACCAAGUCGACGAUCAGUAGCCGGACUGAGAGGUUGAACGGCCACAUUGGGACUGAGAUACGGCCCAGACUCCUACGGGAGGCAGCAGUCGGGAAUAUUGCGCAAUGGAGGAAACUCUGACGCAGUGACGCCGCGUAUAGGAAGAAGGUUUUCGGAUUGUAAACUAUUGUCGUUAGGGAAGAUACAAGACAGUACCUAAGGAGGAAGCUCCGGCUAACUACGUGCCAGCAGCCGCGGUAAUACGUAGGGAGCAAGCGUUAUCCGGAU
Molecule: ribosomal RNA, 561 nt
Filed under: uncultured bacterium
Lineage: Bacteria
Description: bacterial SSU rRNA
Rfam family: Bacterial small subunit ribosomal RNA
Source: RNAcentral